GGUCCCUCGCGGGUCCCGGGCGCAGCACAACUUGCUGUCUUUUCCUGGCGGAGACAGCGCGGCACCAAAGAAGAUUGUGUUUCUUGCCUUUGCCGCUAUCCCGACGGAGAUCGAGGCGAGUCUGGAGAGCUGAGGUGGAGGGUCAGGAGGACCCGCCCGGAGAGCCCGCCGGCUGUGGCCGUGCGGCCCGGGAACACCGUGGAUGCCGGCUCCUGCUUUGGCAGGCGAAGCACGCGCCGCCUCCUCCCCGCCCUCCCUUUGCCGCUGUCCCCUCCCCUCGGCCCCGCCGCGUAGUCCUGGACGCGCGAGAGUGGGGGCGGCAGCCAGACUGAGAAUCCAGAGAGAAAGUUGCUCGCCUUCCUCGCAGCUCCCCGGGGGGCGCCGAGGCCACACCCGACCCCUGUUUGCUUUUCUGGGUCAAACACUGGGGUCUGGGGCUGCGGUGUUCGCGCAGCCUUUAUGAGGACCAGGAUGGGAAGUAGCCUCAGAGAUGGGGAGAGCGAUGUCUAUGAGCUUUAAGGGGCUCUUGAGAAGUGGUCACUUUGGAGGGCAGAGACCAUGACGGGUGUGGACGUAGGAAUGAGAAGGCUGGGCACGCCAUGCGAGGCUGCUGGAUUCCAUAGGGGCAAAGCCAGAGAGAAAGAAGGCAGGCUACUCCUCUGCCAGCCUCUCCCAGCAGCUGCAAACCUUUGGGAACUUCUUUCAAGACAUUUCUCUUUCUCUUUUUCCUUUUCCUCUUUCCUGGGUUUCCCCCACUCCCUUACCUCCUCCUCUCACCCUCUCUCCUCUUUCUACUACCCUCCUUUCUCCUCCCGUCCCCUUCCCUUCCUCUUACCCACGCCACUCCCCAACCCACAAUCAGCCUUAACAUCUAUCUACACAACCUUUGAAUUUCCUUUCUGAAAAUCGGAUUCUUUUGAUUUCUUCUUGGGACCUGCCCAGUGCUGACUUGCCAUCAGCCUUUUUAACCCUUCGGAGGCCAGAGCCGUGUUCUGUGGGUGACUGACUGACCUCUGGAGUCUCCACAGAGGACAGUUAUUUUAGGAAGCUACCAUCUGGGACCGGCAACUUUUGAAGUACAUACUUUGCCAGAUACAGUUUUUGUGAUGUGCCUUUUUCAAAGCAGCUUGGAAAUAAUAAAUGGGUAGGAAUAUAUUUCAUAAUAAAGUUUUUGAGUGCACCAUUCAAUUGGGCAGCAUCAGCUGGAGACAGGUUGUUUCAAGAUUGUUUGAAGGGUUUUAAGUGAUUGAUUCCAAGCCUUUCCUUUGUAGGAAUAGGAUACAGGCAAUAAGCCACCCAGGAAAGCAGUGUAGUACGCAGUAAGCUUAUCACAAUAUUCUUGAGAAGAGGAGAGAAUAGUUCCCGGGAGACAUUUGGCAGAGUCUGGAGAUAUUUGGGGUAAGCAUGACCCGUAGACUGGGAAGGCCCUACUCACAGCCAGUCCAUAAUGCCAGGGGUCUGCUCUGUAACUACAUAGGGCACACCCAGAAUAAUCUAGCUUGAAGUGUGAAUAGGGCCCAGGCUGGGAAGUCAUGUUUCAAAAUGUCACAUGGUUUAGCUCACCCAUGAAUCUCAGAUUUAGAGGUCUGGAUUUGAAGUUUUCCUGUGUUAACGUAUGCUUUAACUCUGCUUGUGCAAAUCACCAGUUAUCGAGCAUGCUGGCCAUAUAAUAACAGGUCUGACUUGUAGCUAAAUACCACUGCCUGGCUAUCACAUAUCUCCUAUCUAUGUAAUAUGGAGGUAGCAGAUACCAGCAUAGACAAAAUUAUACAGUGGCAGCCAGACUCACCCACCGACAGACACUCACACACUACCCACCGGGUAUCCAGUCUAGGACACUUUCUCAUGCUUGGGGGAGCUUUAGAGGGUGACAUGGAUUGCCAAGGAGGCGUCCAUUGUGAUCAUACCAACUGCAAAUUCUUUCAUUACUUCGUGUCAGUACACCGGGUGUAUGAAGAGAUGACUUCAUCUAAUUCUCAAAAAAAAGGGAGAGAAAAGCCACGAAGGCUGUUAGCAUUUCACAGAGAAACAACUGAUUAACCUGUAAGCAUAUGAUUAAAACACGGACUUAAAAAAAAAAACUCAUUAUUUGCAUUCUAUUAAGUAAUGUAAACAUUACCAGAGAGGUUUGGCUAAUAUGAAAAAGGAAGAAAUGAAGAAGUCAAAAGCUUAGAAUCCUAUCAGAAUGAAAUAUUCAUUAUGUGUGGAGUCCUUGUGUGCUACACUUCCUGGGACUCGACAUUCCAACUCGGACGGAGUCUGUCCCCUCAUUUGUAAAACAGAGCUUGAAACCAAUUUCAUUUAAUGUUUCUGAACUGACAGUGUGAUGGCAAAAUGAGCACUCCUACCUUGGAGAAGGGGGUAGGGGUCAUCUAAUCUGUGCGAGUGCGUGACUGCACCGAAGAGGUGACAGGUCUGGAUCCUGCCGGUAUCCCACUGAAAGCAGCUCCAGAAUCACGACUCAUUUCUCUGUCACUCCACCCUAUAAUUAUCUUCCCAAGCUAUAAAAUCUUCUGAAUUACCCUCCAGAUUCUGGCAUGUAUACUUGACACGCACAUGCAUUAUAAUAUCUUUGAAAACCUUUGCAUUCGAUUUACAUCUUCAAAGGAUCCUUAAGUUUCUUCACAGCCAGAAGUUCCCACACAGCAGAUGCUGGUGUACCUCCUGUUCCAGGCUCAGGAGCAGAAUGUUUGGCUUAAGCAGGGCUAUUGGGUGGUCAGAUGGUAUCAUGAAGGUUUGGGAGACUGUGGGCAUUCAUGACAACACUUUCAGUUGGUUAUCCAAUAUAACUUCCAACCCCGCCCCCUUUGUUCAAAAGAUGCUUCUCUAACUUCCCUUAAACUCUGUGGUGGUUACUCAAUGCCCCUAGAGCCAAGGAAUCCACUAAGGAGACCUGGGGGGAAAAUACUCUGUGCUCAAGCAGGGAAGCCUGAGAGAAUGCUUCCCCCACCUUCCUGGCUGUCUUUGCUCCUGUUCUUAAAGCAUGAAAUGUUUGGCAUUACAACAACCAUCUUGUAUCCAUGGCGAUAGGAAGGCUACAGGGACAUGACCCAACACCCUCACAACGUCAGCUCCUUACUUCCUUUUGAAUAUUCUUGCUGCUAGAAUCAUGGGCAUGUGCCACCAUGCCUAGACCCUUGUAAAUAUCUUUGAGUAAACAAUAAAGUGUUCAUAUGGUU
RNAcentral lists this long non-coding RNA (3179 nucleotides) under Mus pahari (shrew mouse). RNAcentral's name for it is "lncRNA (MGP_PahariEiJ_G0003449.1)". Lineage: Eukaryota; Metazoa; Chordata; Mammalia; Rodentia; Muridae. The record is from RNAcentral.